AGAGUUUGAUCCUGGCUCAGGACGAACGCUGGCGGCGUGCUUAACACAUGCAAGUCAAGGGGGCCCAGCAAUGGGCAACCGGCGAACGGGUGCGUAACACGUGAGCAACCUACCGAACUGUGGGGGAUAGCCGGCCUAACGGCCGAGUAAUACCGCAUACGCUUUCUAAAAGGCAUUUUUUGGAAAGGAAACCUACGGGACAGAUCGAGGGGCUCGCGGCCUAUCAGCUAGUUGGUGAGGUAAUGGCUCACCAAGGCUACGACGGGUAGCUGGUCUGAGAGGAUGGCCAGCCACAUUGGGACUGAGAUACGGCCCAGACUCCUACGGGAGGCAGCAGUGGGGAAUCUUGCGCAAUGGCCUAACGCCUGACCCAGCAACGCCGCGUGAGGGAGGAAAUCCUUCGGGAUGUAAACCUCACAAGCAAGGGAAGAGCGCGCAGGGGUGAAUACCCCCUGCGUCCGACGGUACCUUGCGUAAGCCACGGCUAACCACGUGCCAGCAGCCGCGGUAAUACGUAGGGUGCGAGCGUUAAUCGGAAUUACUGGGCGUAAAGCGUGCGUAGGCGGUCCCGCAAGUCCGCUGUGAAAGCCCCGAGCUUAACUUGGGAACUGCAGUGGAAACUAUGGGACUUGAAUCUGGCAGAGGGGGGUGGAAUGCCACGUGUAGCAGUGAAAUGCGUAGAGAUGUGGCGGAACACCGAUGGCGAAGGCAGCCCCCUGGGCUAAGAUUGACGCUCAGGCACGAAAGCGUGGGGAGCAAACAGGGUUAGAUACCCUGGUAGUCCACGCCCUAAACGAUGACAACUAGGUGUUGGGGAAGCGAUUUCUCAGUACCGCAGCUAACGCGUGAAGUUGUCCGCCUGGGGAGUACGGUCGCAAGAUUAAAACUCAAAGGAAUUGACGGGGACCCGCACAAGCGGUGGAUGAUGUGGAUUAAUUCGAAGCAACGCGAAUAACCUUACCUACCCUUGACAUGUACGGAAGCUCAUCGAGAGGUGAGUGUGCCCGAAAGGGAGCCGUAACACAGGUGCUGCAUGGCUGUCGUCAGCUCGUGUCGUGAGAUGUUGGGUUAAGUCCCGCAACGAGCGCAACCCUUGUCCCUAGUUGCUACGCAAGGGCACCCUAGGGAGACCGCCGGUGACAAACCGGAGGAAGGUGGGGAUGACGUCAAGUCCUCAUGGCCCUUAUGGGUAGGGCCUCACACGUCAUACAAUGGCCGGUACAGAGGGUUGCCAAACCGCGAGGUGGAGCCAAUCCCAGAAAGCCGGUCGUAGUCCGGAUUGCAGUCUGCAACUCGACUGCAUGAAGUCGGAAUCGCUAGUAAUCGCGGAUCAGCAUGUCGCGGUGAAUACGUUCCCGGGUCUUGUACACACCGCCCGUCACACCAUGGGAGUGGGGUGCACCAGAAGUAGGUAGGCUAACCGCAAGGAGGCCGCUUACCACGGUACGCUUCAUGACUGGGGUGAAGUCGUAACAAGGUAACCGU
RNAcentral lists this ribosomal RNA (1485 nucleotides) under uncultured Rhodocyclaceae bacterium. RNAcentral's name for it is "partial 16S ribosomal RNA". It matches the Rfam family "Bacterial small subunit ribosomal RNA". The record is from RNAcentral. Lineage: Bacteria; Pseudomonadati; Pseudomonadota; Betaproteobacteria; Rhodocyclales; Rhodocyclaceae.